Molecule: long non-coding RNA, 1089 nt
Organism: Populus trichocarpa (black cottonwood)
Lineage: Eukaryota; Viridiplantae; Streptophyta; Magnoliopsida; Malpighiales; Salicaceae
Exons: 2
Source: RefSeq, a predicted model, not a curated record
AUUACACAUUCAACAUAAAGUUUUUGUUUGAGCUUCAUCACUAAUGUUUUUGUGAGGUACUGUAUCAGUGUAUCUAACCUUAAAUUCUCUAUAUAUAUCUUUUUUCUCCCUCUCUCUAACCUUAAAUUCUCUCUUUAACUCUUCGUUUCUACAAAAACACCUCCCUCUUGAACACUAAAUGCUACAAAAAUGGAGGCCCAUGAAAUUGAGUGAUGAGCUGGAAGUCACGGUGGGCUGGAGCUAUUUGACUGGAGAAAGAGAAUUCAUCUAGUGCAAAGUUUGAUGGUUAGCUAUUAUACCACUAGAUUUAUCAUAGUUAUGGUUAUGUUGACUGUGUCUAUUCUAGUUCUACCACCGGUGCUGCCACCAUUACCACCGCCACCAUUGGUUCUACUCUUUGUACCAGUCAUGAUCAUGUCCCUUCUUGUUUUGUUGGCCUUAAGUCCAAUAUCACAAAUGCCCAACGUGGAGACCACCAGUGCAAUUUGAUUAUGGAAGGAAUCCUCGAGACUUCUGGUUUCUCUUUCAUCUUCAAUUUCGCUGCAGCCUUCUUCAAUAUUUGUGCUACAAGAUACUUGAACGCUAUCUCCAUGUAAUGAAGAAUCCAUGAUUUGAUUAAUGUCUGAUGGCAAAUCGAGAUUGGUAAAAGAGAUUGUCAUUAUGAUAAGAAAUUCCAGCUCUCAAUUAACGCGUCGCGUCAAAGUGUAAGGUUGACUUCCAAACGGACGUGGACAGCCUUGAAAUAUAGCGACGAGUGUGUGAAACGUCGCCAAACCUCUGACGCCUUAAAUUUCGCUCUAAAUUCCCAUAGAAAGCAAAUUUCAGCUUUUCACAAAAGAGGAGCUGAGCACAAACCCGCAAGGAUUCUGUGAACUACGGGCGAUAUUCAAGGAUUAAGGUAAUCUGUGGUACAUCUUGUAGGACAGGGGAUAUAAAUUAUUGAUUGAUUUUGGCUUGAGGAUUCAUGUAAUCCUUGCAGAAAUCUAGCAUACUUGUGUGCAAUUUGUUCUUCUUUUCUUUGAGAAUAUUGUUUGUUAAUUAUACAAUAUCAUUUGGUUGUUAAUUUAAACAUUAUCCUCAUUAAUAUCA